This 430-nucleotide ribosomal RNA is filed under the name uncultured bacterium. Its description in RNAcentral is "partial 16S ribosomal RNA". It matches the Rfam family "Bacterial small subunit ribosomal RNA", at positions 29 to 507 of the family's 1533-position model. The record is from RNAcentral.
AACGAACGCUGGCGGCAGGCUUAACACAUGCAAGUCGAGCGCCCCGCAAGGGGAGCGGCAGACGGGUGAGUAACGCGUGGGAACGUACCUUUUGGUUCGGAACAACUCCGGGAAACUGGAGCUAAUACCGGAUAAGCCCUAACGGGGAAAGAUUUAUCGCCGAAAGAUCGGCCCGCGUCUGAUUAGCUAGUUGGUGAGGUAACGGCUCACCAAGGCGACGAUCAGUAGCUGGUCUGAGAGGAUGAUCAGCCACACUGGGACUGAGACACGGCCCAGACUCCUACGGGAGGCAGCAGUGGGGAAUAUUGGACAAUGGGCGCAAGCCUGAUCCAGCCAUGCCGCGUGAGUGAUGAAGCCUUAGGGUUGUAAAGCUCUUUUGUCCGGGAAGAUAAUGACUGUACCGGAAGAAUAAGCCCCGGCUAACUUCGUG